This 563-nucleotide long non-coding RNA is filed under the name Setaria italica (foxtail millet). Its description in RNAcentral is "long non-coding RNA (SITA_LNC005213)". Lineage: Eukaryota; Viridiplantae; Streptophyta; Magnoliopsida; Poales; Poaceae. The record is from RNAcentral.
UUUGAGGCUCGUCCUGGGGGACAUUCAUUUGGCUGGACUUACUGUGGGUCUCACAAUUUCAGUCCAGCAGCAUGGGGGCAAGUCCUUUCUCCUCCCUCCAGAGCAAAUCCUAAUGAAGUCAGAGCAGCACCUCCUGGUCCAAGGCUGCACGUUUGUAACUAUGAGCUCGGCAUCAUACUCAUUUCUCCACCACCAGGCAAGUCAAAGCAAGCAAGUGAAAGUAAGCACAGGAUUGAGGGCAUCACCCUACCGUUUGUUGUGCCUCCGCCGCGAUAUAAGGGGAGUGAUAGGCCAGCGACUCGGUUGGCCAUGCGAGAGGCUGCGGCUGAAGCUUGUGUUCUGCAGAGUAACGAUGUUGUAGACUUGUCAGAUGAUACUGACGAAGAUGUGCCAGAUGAAGACGAUGAGCAGGAGGUCGAGCUGUCUGAUUGUUCUCAACAAGAGAAGGAAGAGGAGAAGAUUUACGCGGAGACGCUAUGGGGGCAGGUAGAUUCUUCUCAGAGCCAAGAAAAGGAUUAGUGAAGUUGGAGUUCGGUUCUUUAUGCAGUCUUGCAGAUUCAGUU